ACUUAUGUAGUUUAAUGAAAACAUUACAUUUUCAUUGUAAAAAUAAAUAUAUUUAUUUUUUAAGUA
RNAcentral lists this transfer RNA (66 nucleotides) under Parablepharis kuhlii asiatica. Its description in RNAcentral is "tRNA-Glu". Lineage: Eukaryota; Metazoa; Arthropoda; Insecta; Mantodea; Hymenopodidae. The record is from RNAcentral.